CCGCUCCAGUCUGUAAGAAAUGGAGACAGCAGACAAGUGUAGAAAAGUGCAGUAGAACAUAUGAGCUUUUUUACAGACAGUCAGUAACUAGAUUCCUAAACAGUGUGUGUUUGUGGUCACCGAUGAAGAUGGCUGUAUCUGAGGUGAGCUGUUGUCAUAGAAACAACACCCCGGUCUACAAGCUCCACGGUGACGUGAAUCCUGACUGCACCAUCACCUGGCUCACCCGAGACAACAAGAUGAUUGUAGAUGAUUCUGGUAAUGUGGACCCGGACACCGUAGUUUCAUACGAACACGGUGAGCUGACCGUGAAGAGCCGAGACUGUGAUGUGUUGGUCAGAGAGGACUGUCUGACUCUGGGGGAGCGCAAAAUAAACUGCACAGCUCUGUGUGAACCAGAAAAGCCUAAUGUAACUGAAAAUCUGACUACAGAAGACAGGAUCUCUCCUCUGAUCAUCAGCUUCAUCAUUCUCGGCCUCGUCGUCCUCCUCCUCCUCCUCAUCCCCAUUAGUGUUGGUGUGGUGGUGUAUAAGAGACUCCAAGGGAGCCAUGACUUUGAAAAUGCGAACACCAUUAACGAAACUAACGACCACCACAACAUCGUGGAACUCCAGCCUCUUCAGUGAGGUUGUAUAAACCGUGCCAGCGUUUGGCCGUCUGUAGAUGAAGUUAUAAAUGUAGAGGCAGGUGCGGAGACUUCCGCUGGAAUUACAAUGAGAUCUUCAAGGUGAUUUUCUUCAUUUUCAGUUUAAAAUGUAAGAACGUCACACCUGAAUGAGAAUCAGUACAAAG
Long non-coding RNA from Ictalurus punctatus (channel catfish), 792 nucleotides. Lineage: Eukaryota; Metazoa; Chordata; Actinopteri; Siluriformes; Ictaluridae. The record is from Ensembl.